GUGGAUUGUGGCUCAGCGGUAGUGUGUUCGCCUAGCACAUGCGAGGACCUGGGUUUGAUCCUCAGCACCACA
This 72-nucleotide transfer RNA is filed under the name Marmota monax (woodchuck). RNAcentral's name for it is "tRNA.Ala". Lineage: Eukaryota; Metazoa; Chordata; Mammalia; Rodentia; Sciuridae. The record is from RNAcentral.